RNAcentral lists this transfer RNA (88 nucleotides) under Streptomyces phage Forrest. RNAcentral describes it as "tRNA-Ser". It matches the Rfam family "tRNA". From Rfam's summary of the family: Transfer RNA (tRNA) molecules are approximately 80 nucleotides in length. Their secondary structure includes four short double-helical elements and three loops (D, anti-codon, and T loops). Further hydrogen bonds mediate the characteristic L-shaped molecular structure. tRNAs have two regions of fundamental functional importance: the anti-codon, which is responsible for specific mRNA codon recognition, and the 3' end, to which the tRNAs corresponding amino acid is attached (by aminoacyl-tRNA synthetases). tRNAs cope with the degeneracy of the genetic code in two manners: having more than one tRNA (with a specific anti-codon) for a particular amino acid; and 'wobble' base-pairing, i.e. permitting non-standard base-pairing at the 3rd anti-codon position. The record is from RNAcentral. Lineage: Duplodnaviria; Heunggongvirae; Uroviricota; Caudoviricetes; Stanwilliamsviridae.
GGAGAGGCAACCCGAUAGGUGACGGGGGCUCCCUGCUAAGGAGUUGAGGUGUAAAAGCCCUUGCGAGUUCGACUCUCGUCCUCUCCGC